AUGUAUCUAUUUGGCUGUUACUGUGUGCUGCCAAAGUUUCCACUACAGAUACAAAAAGCAAAUGUCCUUGCAUUUUCUGUGAUCAUGGCAGCCAAGAUUAAAUGGGAGAAUACAGAG
This is a small nucleolar RNA of Bison bison bison, 117 nucleotides long. The record is from Ensembl. NCBI's taxonomy places the organism in Eukaryota, Metazoa, Chordata, Mammalia, Artiodactyla, Bovidae.